GAUGAACGCUGGCGGCGUGCCUAACACAUGCAAGUCGAGCGAUCUCUUCGGAGAGAGCGGCGGACGGGUGAGUAACGCGUGGGUAACCUGCCCUGUACACACGGAUAACAUACCGAAAGGUAUACUAAUACGGGAUAACAUACGAAAGUCGCAUGGCUUUUGUAUCAAAGCUCCGGCGGUACAGGAUGGACCCGCGUCUGAUUAGCUAGUUGGUAAGGUAAUGGCUUACCAAGGCAACGAUCAGUAGCCGACCUGAGAGGGUGAUCGGCCACACUGGAACUGAGACACGGUCCAGACUCCUACGGGAGGCAGCAGUGGGGAAUAUUGCACAAUGGGCGAAAGCCUGAUGCAGCAACGCCGCGUGAGCGAUGAAGGCCUUCGGGUCGUAAAGCUCUGUCCUCAAGGAAGAUAAUGACGGUACUUGAGGAGGAAGCCCCGGCUAACUACGUG
Molecule: ribosomal RNA, 450 nt
Filed under: uncultured bacterium
Lineage: Bacteria
Also listed under: 1 other name
Description: bacterial SSU rRNA
Rfam family: Bacterial small subunit ribosomal RNA
Source: RNAcentral